RNAcentral lists this ribosomal RNA (376 nucleotides) under uncultured bacterium. Its description in RNAcentral is "bacterial SSU rRNA". It matches the Rfam family "Bacterial small subunit ribosomal RNA", at positions 282 to 670 of the family's 1533-position model. The record is from RNAcentral.
GGUAGCCGGCCUGAGAGGGUGUCCGGCCACACUGGGACUGAGAUACGGCCCAGACUCCUACGGGAGGCAGCAGUGGGGAAUAUUGCACAAUGGGCGCAAGCCUGAUGCAGCGACGCCGCGUGGGGGAUGACGGCCUUCGGGUUGUAAACCUCUUUCAAUAGGGACGAAGCGCAAGUGACGGUACCUAUAGAAGAAGCACCGGCCAACUACGUGCCAGCAGCCGCGGUAAUACGUAGGGUGCGAGCGUUGUCCGGAAUUACUGGGCGUAAAGAGCUCGUAGGUGGUUUGUCGCGUUGUCCGUGAAAUUUCACAACUCAAUUGUGAGCGUGCGGGCGAUACGGGCAGACUGGAGUACUGCAGGGGAGACUGGAAUUCC